AUUGAACGCUAGCGGGAUGCUUUACACAUGCAAGUCGAACGGCAGCGCGGACUUCGGUCUGGCGGCGAGUGGCGAACGGGUGAGUAAUGUAUCGGAACGUGCCCAGUAGCGGGGGAUAACUACGCGAAAGCGUAGCUAAUACCGCAUACGCCCUACGGGGGAAAGCAGGGGAUCGUAAGACCUUGCCCUAUUGGAGCGCCCGAUAUCGGAUUAGCUAGUUGGUGAGGUAACGGCUCACCAAGGCGACGAUCCGUAGCUGGUUUGAGAGGACGACCAGCCACACUGGGACUGAGACACGGCCCAGACUCCUACGGGAGGCAGCAGUGGGGAAUUUUGGGCAAUGGGGGCAACCCUGAUCCAGCCAUCCCGCGUGUGCGAUGAAGGCCUUCGGGUUGUAAAGCACUUUUGGCAGGAAAGAAACGUCGCGGGCUAAUACGCCGUGGAACUGACGGUACCUGCAGAAUAAGCACCGGCUAACUACGUG
Molecule: ribosomal RNA, 484 nt
Filed under: uncultured bacterium
Lineage: Bacteria
Description: partial 16S ribosomal RNA
Rfam family: Bacterial small subunit ribosomal RNA
Source: RNAcentral